Molecule: ribosomal RNA, 119 nt
Filed under: Periophthalmus magnuspinnatus
Lineage: Eukaryota; Metazoa; Chordata; Actinopteri; Gobiiformes; Gobiidae
Source: RNAcentral
UGCUGUGGUAGGCCAUGUCUUACCAAACCUCCAUCUUGUCAGAUCUCAAAAGCUAAGCGGGGCCGGGGCUGAUUAGUACUUGGAUGGGAGACCACCGGAAAUUCCAGUUGUCACAGUAG